Molecule: ribosomal RNA, 251 nt
Filed under: uncultured bacterium
Lineage: Bacteria
Description: partial 16S ribosomal RNA
Rfam family: Bacterial small subunit ribosomal RNA
Source: RNAcentral
ACGAGGGGUGCGAGCGUUGUUCGGAAUCACUGGGCGUAAAGGGAGCGUAGGCGGACUAACAAGCAAGGCGUGCAAAACCGAAGCCCAACUUCGGCAUUGCGUUUUGGACUGUUAGUCUUGGAUAUUUCAGAGGCAAGCGGAAUUCUUGGUGGAGCGGUGGAAUGCGUAGAUAUCAGGAAGAACACCGGAGGCGAAGGCGGCUUGCUGGGGAAUUAUCGACGCUGCAGCUCGAAAGCGCGGGUAGCAAACAG